GUGUACACCGCCUGCGACAUUGAAAGUAAUAUCAUCCUCUCCCCAUCUGGAUAUUAAGAAGAAUAUCAGAGGAAGGUGUACACC
This 84-nucleotide microRNA precursor is filed under the name Chlorocebus sabaeus (green monkey). Its description in RNAcentral is "miRNA (ENSCSAG00000023400.1)". The record is from RNAcentral. Lineage: Eukaryota; Metazoa; Chordata; Mammalia; Primates; Cercopithecidae.